GUGCAGCAGUCGCGAAACCUUCGCAAUGCGGGAAACCGCGACGAGGGGACUCCCAGUGCCUACGCUCAGCGUAGGCUGUUCCCGAGCCUAGAAAGCUCGGGGAGUAAGGGCUGGGUAAGACGGGUGCCAGCCGCCGCGGUAAUACCCGCAGCCCGAGUGGUGGCCACUAUUAUUGGGCCUAAAGCGUCCGUAGCCGGCCCGGUAAAUGCCUGGGUAAAUCGUGAGGCCUAACCUCACGAAUUCCGGGUAGACUGCCGGGCUAGGGACCGGAGGAGGGAGAGGGUACUCCAGGGGUAGGGGUGAAAUCCUGUAAUCCCUGGAGGACCACCGGUGGCGAAGGCGCUCUCCUAGGACGGGUCCGACGGUGAGGGACGAAAGCCAGGGGAGCGAACCGGAUUAGAUACCCCCGUAGU
RNAcentral lists this ribosomal RNA (413 nucleotides) under uncultured microorganism. RNAcentral's name for it is "bacterial SSU rRNA". It matches the Rfam family "Archaeal small subunit ribosomal RNA", at positions 330 to 745 of the family's 1478-position model. The record is from RNAcentral.